This 788-nucleotide ribosomal RNA is filed under the name uncultured bacterium. Its description in RNAcentral is "bacterial SSU rRNA". It matches the Rfam family "Bacterial small subunit ribosomal RNA", at positions 78 to 851 of the family's 1533-position model. The record is from RNAcentral.
UGACGUUGGGAAAGCGAGCGGCGGAUGGGUGAGUAACACGUGGGGAACCUGCCCCUAAGUCUGGGAUACCAUUUGGAAACAGGUGCUAAUACCGGAUAAUAAAGCAGAUCGCAUGAUCAGCUUUUGAAAGGCGGCGUAAGCUGUCGCUAAGGGAUGGCCCCGCGGUGCAUUAGCUAGUUGGUAAGGUAACGGCUUACCAAGGCGACGAUGCAUAGCCGAGUUGAGAGACUGAUCGGCCACAUUGGGACUGAGACACGGCCCAAACUCCUACGGGAGGCAGCAGUAGGGAAUCUUCCACAAUGGACGCAAGUCUGAUGGAGCAACGCCGCGUGAGUGAAGAAGGUUUUCGGAUCGUAAAGCUCUGUUGUUGGUGAAGAAGGAUAGAGGUAGUAACUGGCCUUUAUUUGACGGUAAUCAACCAGAAAGUCACGGCUAACUACGUGCCAGCAGCCGCGGUAAUACGUAGGUGGCAAGCGUUGUCCGGAUUUAUUGGGCGUAAAGCGAGCGCAGGCGGAAAAAUAAGUCUAAUGUGAAAGCCCUCGGCUUAACCGAGGAACUGCAUCGGAAACUGUUUUUCUUGAGUGCAGAAGAGGAGAGUGGAACUCCAUGUGUAGCGGUGGAAUGCGUAGAUAUAUGGAAGAACACCAGUGGCGAAGGCGGCUCUCUGGUCUGCAACUGACGCUGAGGCUCGAAAGCAUGGGUAGCGAACAGGAUUAGAUACCCUGGUAGUCCAUGCCGUAAACGAUGAGUGCUAAUGUUGGGGAGGUUUCCGCCUCUCAGUGCUGCAG